Molecule: ribosomal RNA, 395 nt
Filed under: uncultured bacterium
Lineage: Bacteria
Description: bacterial SSU rRNA
Rfam family: Bacterial small subunit ribosomal RNA
Source: RNAcentral
AUUGAACGCUGGCGGAAUGCUUUACACAUGCAAGUCGAGCGGCAGCGCGGGGCAACCUGGCGGCGAGCGGCGAACGGGUGAGUAAUGUAUCGGAACGUACCCAGUCGUGGGGGAUAACUAUCCGAAAGGAUAGCUAAUACCGCAUACGUCCUGAGGGAGAAAGCGGGGGAUCGCAAGACCUCGCGCGAUUGGAGCGGCUGAUAUCGGAUUAGCUAGUUGGUGAGGUAAAGGCUCACCAAGGCGACGAUCCGUAGCUGGUCUGAGAGGACGACCAGCCACACUGGAACUGAGACACGGUCCAGACUCCUACGGGAGGCAGCAGUGGGGAAUUUUGGACAAUGGGCGCAAGCCUGAUCCAGCCAUGCCGCGUGAGUGAAGAAGGCCUCGGUUGUAAG